AUUGGCAAUCAAGGGUGGGAUUUAUUUUCCAGUGUUCACAACCACGAAAUCAAAAGUGAGUCGACUAGUGUCUAUUGAUUCAUUCAGAUUCGUGGGUGGCGGCGAGGCGCGAGGACGUGGCCUCUGCGGGGCGCCGUCAGUAGAGUUACCUGUAGCGCGGUGGGCCUCCCUCGCCUGAGUCCGGAGCUUCGCCAAGCAGAAGGAAGCGAGUCUGCGCACUGACUCUUGCCGCCCAGAGACGGGAGGUCCACCAUGCCCUGAGGACUCUGUAUAACGUGACGGGACUCCUCUUCCCCUCAAGGCGCCAUCCCAAUCAUGGGGAAGGUAGAAUAAUCUCCCCUGUGUCUACCUGUGGAUGCUUCCUGGCUCCUCGGAUCCCCUGGGCCACAGCAGCAUUCCCGCUCCGCUCACCUUUUCCUGCGAGUCUACAUAGUACCGAGCGAUAAACAAUGAUAUGCAGUGGUGUGGAGGACAGAAAAAGAGGCUGGAGUGAAAAAAAGGAGGAUAUAUGGCUGAAUAAAUCCACAAUCCUAAA
Molecule: long non-coding RNA, 535 nt
Organism: Portunus trituberculatus (swimming crab)
Lineage: Eukaryota; Metazoa; Arthropoda; Malacostraca; Decapoda; Portunidae
Exons: 2
Source: RefSeq, a predicted model, not a curated record